This 910-nucleotide ribosomal RNA is filed under the name Penicillium janczewskii. RNAcentral describes it as "LSU rRNA". It matches the Rfam family "Eukaryotic large subunit ribosomal RNA", at positions 38 to 966 of the family's 3401-position model. The record is from RNAcentral. Lineage: Eukaryota; Fungi; Ascomycota; Eurotiomycetes; Eurotiales; Aspergillaceae.
GCAUAUCAAUAAGCGGAGGAAAAGAAACCAACAGGGAUUGCCCCAGUAACGGCGAGUGAAGCGGCAAGAGCUCAAAUUUGAAAGCUGGCUCCUUCGGGGUCCGCAUUGUAAUUUGCAGAGGAUGCUUCGGGAGCGGUCCCCAUCUAAGUUCCCUGGAACGGGACGUCAUAGAGGGUGAAAAUCCCGUAUGGGAUGGGGUGUCCGCGCCCGUGUGAAGCUCCUUCGACGAGUCGAGUUGUUUGGGAAUGCAGCUCUAAAUGGGUGGUAAAUUUCAUCUAAAGCUAAAUAUUGGCCGGAGACCGAUAGCGCACAAGUAGAGUGAUCGAAAGAUGAAAAGCACUUUGAAAAGAGAGUUAAAAAGCACGUGAAAUUGUUGAAAGGGAAGCGCUUGCGACCAGACUCGCUCGCGGGGUUCAGCCGGCAUUCGUGCCGGUGUACUUCCCCGCGGGCGGGCCAACGUCGGUUUGGGCGGUCGGUCAAAGGCCCUCGGAAGGUAACGCCCCCAGGGGCGUCUUAUAGCCGAGGGUGCAAUGCGACCUGCCUAGACCGAGGAACGCGCUUCGGCUCGGACGUUGGCAUAAUGGUCGUAAGCGACCCGUCUUGAAACACGGACCAAGGAGUCUAACAUCUACGCGAGUGUUCGGGUGUCAAACCCGUGCGCGCAGUGAAAGCGAACGGAGGUGGGAACCCUUUGGGUGCACCAUCGACCGAUCCUGAUGUCUUCGGAUGGAUUUGAGUAAGAGCGUAGCUGUUGGGACCCGAAAGAUGGUGAACUAUGCCUGAAUAGGGCGAAGCCAGAGGAAACUCUGGUGGAGGCUCGUAGCGGUUCUGACGUGCAAAUCGAUCGUCGAAUUUGGGUAUAGGGGGCGAAAGACUAAUCGAACCAUCUGGUAGCUGGUUCCUGCCGGAG